Molecule: ribosomal RNA, 358 nt
Filed under: uncultured bacterium
Lineage: Bacteria
Description: bacterial SSU rRNA
Rfam family: Bacterial small subunit ribosomal RNA
Source: RNAcentral
AACGAACGCUGGCGGCAUGCCUAACACAUGCAAGUCGAACGAGACCUUCGGGUCUAGUGGCGCACGGGUGCGUAACGCGUGGGAACCUGCCUUUAGGUUCGGAAUAACUCAGAGAAAUUUGAGCUAAUACCGGAUAAUGUCUUCGGACCAAAGAUUUAUCGCCUUUAGAUGGGCCCGCGUUGGAUUAGCUAGUUGGUGGGGUAAAGGCCUACCAAGGCGACGAUCCAUAGCUGGUCUGAGAGGAUGAUCAGCCACACUGGGACUGAGACACGGCCCAGACUCCUACGGGAGGCAGCAGUGGGGAAUAAUUGGACAAUGGGCGAAAGCCUUGAUCCAGCAAAUUGCCGCGUGAGUGAUG